CACCAAAGGCGGGAGCCUCUCAGCAAUUAAAGCCCCCUCCACUCAAAUGUCUGGAAGUCCACUCACUUACUCGUCACACUCGUCAAGCCCUCGUCCUCCCCGAGACCUGCGAUCGCGGUUUCCGCCUCUGAUCGAAUGUCCGUCCGCUGCACCACCGCCAAAAUACCCGUCUCUGAGUUAGGGUUUCUCUCCGAUUCACUGGCCCAAUGGUUGAGUCCGCGCUGUAGCUCGUCUCCGAAAUCGGCACCCACCUCCGCCGCCAAACCCGCCCAAACAAGGACUCCAUCGUCAAAUCGCUCCAACAAGCUGCGAGUGCACUGUCACAGUUAGAACAGGCUUCUUCGGCUGAAGCUUCUAGGAAGUUGGAGCCCUGAGAGAAGCUAUUGUGCAUAGCUUGCUUCAGCAUAAGGAUGUCAGGCUUCUAGUGGCCAUUUGUGUCACUGAAAUGUUUCGGGCUAUGGCACCCGAACCUCCUGUCGCCGACAAAUAUCAUGUUCGUGGAGCUAGCUGACAUGGAAAGCCCGCUCUUCUCGAGGAGGGCUAAAAUAGUAGACUGUUGCACGAUGUAAAUGUUGUGUGAUCAUGUUGGAUAUUAACUGCAAUGAUCUAGUUCUCGAAAUGUUUAAUAUAUUCUUCUCUGUUGUGAGGCAACACCAUCAGCAGAGUUUGAUAAAUGAUAUUUUGUCUAUAAUGGUUCAUAUACUAAACGAGGAAGCUUCUCAGCCACUUUUGAAUGUGGUUCUACAAAAUCUUGUGAAGGAGUUAAA
This is a non-coding RNA of Malus domestica (apple), 767 nucleotides long. NCBI's taxonomy places the organism in Eukaryota, Viridiplantae, Streptophyta, Magnoliopsida, Rosales, Rosaceae. The record is from RefSeq and is a predicted model, not a curated record.